UGAAAUAGAACUAUCUUCUCCAUGAGUGCAAAAUCAAGAAAAACAGAAGUUUAUGAUGCUGCUUUCCUACAAGGAUGUUAUUUUUCUGAAGAUAUUCUGAAUAAUUGCAACAGCUAGUCUUUCUUUUUUCUUUUUAUAAUGUUCAGUCAAUAGAUUGUCAGUAAUGACGAAUCAAUUUUUGUCUGGACGCUGACCUGCCAAUAUGCCUCUUUACCAAUAACUCCUCCCAUCCUAUUUUAUGAAUGAUGUGAUUUUGGACUCUUAGGAAGGGAUGUUAGUACCCAAUGCUGCUGUCAUAUAUGAAAGUUGAAACAAUGAAAAGUGUGCCACAUUCAACAUCACAAACUUCAAGACCGCCAACUACCUUUUCAGACUUGUUAAUUCACCAAUUUAUAUCUCAUCUUCUACUACCCAUUUUCAGCACCUCUGCUUUUUGUCCCAAAAUGAGCAACUAAAACAAACUAUAAUUUUAAAAAAAUGAAAUUAUG
Molecule: unclassified non-coding RNA, 488 nt
Filed under: Hevea brasiliensis (rubber tree)
Lineage: Eukaryota; Viridiplantae; Streptophyta; Magnoliopsida; Malpighiales; Euphorbiaceae
Source: RNAcentral